GAAGCAGCCAUCAUUUAAAGAAAGCGUAAUAGCUCACUGGUCGAGUCGGCCUGCGCGGAAGAUGUAACGGGGCUAAACCAUGCACCGAAGCUGCGGCAGCGACACUAUGUGUUGUUGGGUAGGGGAGCGUUCUGUAAGCCUGUGAAGGUGUGCUGUGAGGCAUGCUGGAGGUAUCAGAAGUGCGAAUGCUGACAUAAGUAACGAUAAAGCGGGUGAAAAGCCCGCUCGCCGGAAGACCAAGGGUUC
Molecule: ribosomal RNA, 246 nt
Filed under: Escherichia coli
Lineage: Bacteria; Pseudomonadati; Pseudomonadota; Gammaproteobacteria; Enterobacterales; Enterobacteriaceae
Description: partial 23S ribosomal RNA
Rfam family: Bacterial large subunit ribosomal RNA
Source: RNAcentral